Long non-coding RNA from Anolis carolinensis (green anole), 5661 nucleotides. Lineage: Eukaryota; Metazoa; Chordata; Lepidosauria; Squamata; Anolidae. The record is from Ensembl.
GAAGAAUCUUGAAUCCUUACUCCUUGCUUGUCUGUUGGGAGUAUAGUAUUAUUGAAUUGUGGUGUCACCUCCUUCUACAAAAUGAAGUUGACUAGAUGAGAUCAGAAGUACCAUGUUGAUUUGACUGGGAUUUAUUUUUUUUAAAAAAAUCCUAUUUCAUAAACAAGCUACUAAAAGCUAUCUUGGGCAGCAAUGAGUGUGUGGUAUGUAACAUGGGUAGAUUUUAAAUGUAAUUGUAGCGCAUUAGUUAUCAGCUAAAGUAUUAAGUUGUAUCUGCACCUCACAGCUAUGAGUUUGAUUCCCUGGCAGAGCAUUCUAAGUACCUUACAAAACUACAAAUAUCAGGAAUCUGAAAUAAAAGAGGCAUGACUGUAGUAUCAAAGUGGUAUCAACGCAUUAUAAUUGUGUGGUGCGAGCAUACUUUAAGAAUGCUUCUGAAUGUGGGAUGGUUCAGAAGCAUUCUCUCCUGACAUUUCACCCACAUCUAUGGCAGGCAUCUUCAGAGGUUGUGAGGUAUGGAGAAACUAAGCAAGAAAGGUUUAUAAAUAUCUAUGGAAAGUCCAGUGUGAGAGAAGAACUCUUAAUUUACAAACCCAUGGAAGGGAGGGAGGAUGGGUCCUGGUUGCUUAUAAAAACAAUGGUGGUAGAAGUGUGUAGUGCUGCAAGGUCCCAAAGAAGUGAUUCACUCCUCCAUCCUUGACUAUUGUCUACCUCAUUUCUAUGCAUGCUACCGUUUAAUUUUAAUUCUAUGUGGGCACACUAAGAUUGACUGACCAGUCCUGGAUGUAUCGUCGAAGGCUUUCACGGCCGGAAUCACUGGAGUGUUGUGUGGUUUCCAAGCUGGAAAAGCUACGGAUCAGGAAAGCACACCUACUGUGUUCUCUAACAUUUCUUCUAUGCUGUAGAGACACAGGAACCAUCCCAUCAUUUCUCACAGCCAAAAGGACUUUCAAAGCACCACAGACUUGCUGUAUCUAUAGCCCCUUAGAACAUAUGCUCGUAUAUGAGAGAAUCCACAUUACCUGCUAAGAACUUGUAAGCAUAGAUGAAAAGCUGUUUUUCCCCAUAUUGUGGCAGUCUCUUGCCAUGACAUGGGUCUUACUACCUCUUCUUCUCCCAUCCAUCUUUCCUCAAUUGCCCUGGACAACAUCACUGCAGGUGAUGGCUGACUUGGAGGACCAAUGUCAUGGUCAGGGACCACUUGAACAUAGAAGAUGGAAAGGGACAUAAGUGCCAUAGAGAAAUGUAAGUACUGUAGGUGAUGUAAUAUUAUCUUCUAUAUAAACAACUUUUAGUGGCACUUGUUAUACAAGCUGCAAACGAAGAGAAUUAUGGUGUCGUAUUUAACAUCAAUAUUAACUGGGUUUGGCUAGAAACAGUAGUAGAUCACAGCCCCGUCCCUAUGGAAUCUCUUACGUUUAGUAGUAGUAUAUAUUGCAAUGAAUACUUUACUCAAGGUAUCCACUAUUUGUAUUCUCAUCCACUACAUUAGUGUAGUUCUUUAACACAAAGGAAUACAUUUAGCAACACUUGCAAAGAUAUUAUGGAAAAACUAUUCCUAUUUAUGGUUUAAGUGCCAAUAUUGUCAAAUAGAAAUAAAAACCAAACAAAGUCUUAUAGUUGACUUGAUAACAAUCAAAAUUGCUGUCUCAGUAUUGAAUCGAGUCAAAGAAACAGUUCUUAACAUGCAGAUGUACAAUAAGGCAACCCUUCACAUAAGCCUUAACAUAAAGCUGUUGUAGUCUCUAGUUUGAUAUCAAUCUUGUCAAAUCGAGUAAAUGAAAAAUAUGCAGAAUUUACUGCCCUCUUGAUAGUCUUCUCAAGUGUUGCUGGAGCGUGGAAAAAGAUAGUUCAGUAAUUAAUAUAACAUCUGUAUAAGUUCUUCUUAGUGUAGCUCCUGGAUACCAGUCAUCUAACAAUAUCUUUAGGGUUAGAUGAAUAGGUCGUUGUUUUUAGGUGUUGAUACCAAUCCGUUGUAGGGUAUCUGGGAUGGCCAAGUGAUCUGUGGUGCCGGGGAUGGUUAUGACUGGUUUCCCGGGUAUAGGCCAGUUUCGUUGCUUCUUCAGGUAAACUAGUCUUCCCACUGUUUGUUUGGGUUAGAGAGUGGUGAGGCUCUGCCUUCUUAAUUCUUCUAUACAUAUAAAAAUAAAAAGAGAAACUAUCUAGUAUACACUUCAAAGGUAAAGUAAAAGUAAUAUAUAUACCAUACUUGAAAUAGACAUGUUAAAAAUAUUACAUCACCUACAGUACUUACAUACUAUAUACCAUACUUUCCUUUUUUUACGUUUCUCUGUAGAUUAUAGACACCUGCGUUUUUGAGGACAUAAGUGCCAUGCCUGGGCCACCCAAACCUGGGAAACACAGGACAGAAUUUGGACUAUUCUCCUUCUUUGGUUAACAUGGUGCUGUGGAUCAGCUCCAUGCAGUGUUUGCACAUCAUGGUGCUGAUCCAGUCAUGUUCCAUAUUAAGUGGUCAGUGCAGAUGUGUCCAUAGCUACAUAGAACAUUUGUGCAUAUGCAGGUGAGAAUGUUCAUAGGUAUACCUUUGCAGAUCAGGGAUCAAAGAUGAUACGUUUGUCCUGUUUUUUGUAUAUUUAGAAAUCUUUGUAUUGUGGUUUCAGUCUAGACAAGGAGUCUGGGAAAUUAAGGUGUGAAUCCUUGCUCAGCCAUGGAAACUCACUGGGCGGACUUAGGAAGUCUUGCUCUCCCAGCUCAGUAGAAGCCAAAGAAGAAGAAACAUAGCUGAAAACACCCUGAGAUAGGUUUGUCUUAGAGUCACCAUAAGUCAGAAAUAGCUUGAAGGCACACAGCAGUAGCAAUGACAUAUUGGGGAAGCUGUGUGUGUUAGGAAUAAAAGGGAAAUUUGAAUUUAGCAAACUAUUUCACCUUUUUUCAAUGUGUGAUCUGUGACACUGUUAGUUAAAAAAUGCAUAAAUCCUUUGGUUGCCCAACACUGUGUAAAGAGAGAAUAUGACAAAUAUUCCCUCCUUUUUAUUUCCAAAUUCUAUGAGAAAAAUGUGCAGAAAUACUCUGUAGUCAAUGAGAAUUCAAUGCAUUAGGAAACAUAUUUUAAUAAGUCUUUCUGAUUCAUCCCCAAGCCCUGAAACAUCUCCCAAAACAAUAUGAGCCAAGGAGAGCAAGAAAAUAUAUAAUAUAUUGUAUAUACAUAUAAUAGUGAUAAUAAUAUUGUAAUGGAAUACAAUAUUAUAUUACUAAUAAUACAAUAUAUUAAUUAUAUAUUAUAUAUUAAAUGUAAUAUUACUAAUAAUAUUACCAUAUAAUGAUAUAGUACAAUAUAGUAAUUUAAUGCUUAUAUUGUGCUAUGCUAAUAAUAUAUUGUAUGCUCAUUUGAUUUGUAAGCCGCUCUGAGUCCCCUUCGGGGUGAGAAGAGUGGGAUAUAAAUGUAGUAAAUAAAUAAAAAUAAAUAUAUAAAUAAAAUGUCUGUGGAAUUUGGAGAUCUAGAGUUCUUUCCAUUCCUAGUUUGUGUGAUCAUUCAAUAUGCUUGAAUCAAUGUGUAUAAAAUAGGUGGCCAAUAUUUUUAUGUUAAUUGAAAAAGAAAGUGUUUGUAUGUGUCCCUUCUUAGUUGAUAUCUGUUCAACUAACAGCCCAAUAUCUAUAAUGAACUCCCUUCAGAUGUGCCCUAAAGACAUAUUUGUUUAUCUUGGCCUAAUACUGAGUUCCAGACAUAUUGGUUGCUUCUGUAUAUAAGGACAAUAGAGUCUCACUUAUCCAACAUAAACGGGCCGGCAGAAUGUUGGAUAAGCAAAUAUGUUGGAUAAUAAGGAGGCAUUAAGGAAAAGCCUAUUAAACAUCAAAUUAGGUUAUGAUUUUACAAAACAUCAUGUUAUGCAACAAAUUUGACAGAAAAAGUAGUUCAAUACACAGUAAUGCUAUGUAGUAAUUACUGUAUUUAUGAAUUUAGCACCAAAAUAUCACAAUGUAUUGAAAACAUUGACUACAAAAAUGCGUUGGAUAAUCCAGAACGUUGGAUAAGUGAGAUUCUACUGUAGCUUGUUUUGAUUAUUAAUUUUGAUUUGUUGUUUUUAGCAUUGGUUUUGUCAUUGCAUUAUUGUAUUUCAAUUGUUUAAAACGUGUUCACAUGGCACCUUGGGAAGCUUUAGCCAUGAAAGAUGAUAAGUAAAUGAAAUAGCAUGUAGUAUGUGCAGUGUACAAAUGCAGAAGAGUUGCACUGUUUUUGCUUGUUUUAUUGGAAAGUACCAUGUACACUUGAUUGUGCCGUAUAAAUCAAUGAAUGAUAAUGAUAACGAUAAUAAUAAUGAUAACAAUAAUGUUGCAAUUAAUGAACACAUUGUUGCAUGACUUUUUGUGGUUUUUGGGGUUUUUACAAGUUUCAAAUUGCGAGAUAUUGUUUGUCAUCCUCAGAAAAAACGGCAUGGCUACCUGCUCCUAGUAUGAAAGGAAAAUACUAGUGGCAUUUACUUGGAAUGAAAGAAGGCCGCAAUUUCUCUGAUCUGUGUCUCAGCUGCAGAUUUCUGUCGUCUUCCUGUUGUGACUGGUGUUUAUAGACCACCGUUUCACAAUACUGGCCAUCACAGCUCAUAUACAAUUCCCUAGAAAUUAACUAAGUGUGAAAGAAAGACUCUUUAGCUGGAUUCCAUUGUCAUUCAAUACCAUUUCGUCCCAUAUGUUUGGUUUAAUUAUCUAGGGCUGGCUGUAGAUAUUAGAAAAUUUUCCCACUUCCUUUCUGUAUUGGAUUUUAGAGGAGUUUUAUAAUCGAGCAAAUAGCAGUUUAGAUGAAUUUUGCCUUUCUGCCUGGGAAUUCUUCAGCAAAUGGGGCCCUUUCUUCUUUUGCAUGAUAACCAUUAUGAAAUCGCUUCCCUGCUGCUUGACUAAUGUAGCCAUCCCACAUUUUAUAUUUACUGUGAACUCGAUUUGUUUUUAAGAAAUUAACAAAACAAAUACUUAAGUGCUGCACUACAUGUUCCAUAAGCUUUUGAAAUUAAUUUCGGGAGGAAUGGGCGGAUGGGGUGGGAAGAAUAAGACGCUAGAGUCUUUACGAAAUUGCUUCAGAAAAUUGUUUUAAUGGUGAUAGUGAAUCCUUACCAAAAUGCUUACUUUAUAUUAAUACAGAUAUGGUCUAACAUCUCACUGUUCAUAUUAUAGCCAUGCUUCACUCCAGGCCAGAGCUAGAGGGAGCACUCAAUAUUUUUGUGCUUUUGCUUUUGUUUGUUUGCUUAUUUCUUUGCUUGUUUAAUUCCUUUGCUUUCAACAGAUUCACAGGGUAGCUUACUAGAACAUUGAAAAUUGUCAUCUUAAAAAUUAAGAAAAUAUUAAGUGGAGGUUGUUGAUGUUUAUUUGUUCAGUCUCUUCUGACCCUUCAUGAUCUCAUGGACCAUCCCACAUCAGAGCUCCCUGUCGGCCGUGGACACCCCAGUUCCUUCAAGGUCAAGCCAGUCACUUCAAGGAUACCAUCCAUCUUGCCCUUGGUCAGUCCCUCUUCCUUUUUCCUUCAAUUUUCCCCAGCAUCAUUGUCUUCUCUAAGGGAAGGGUAGAUUUGCCCCCCCAUGGGUUUUAUGAUGUCAGGAGCAUGCCAUUGGUUCCCUCAAUGUAGAGAGAGGUGAAAUAUUCCACAUGACUGGUGGAGCUCAAUUGAGGGUUAGAUUUUGGCUACUUCUUCCCUUUGCAUUAUAGGAAGAAAUG